AUGCAUCUAGAUUGAGUUUGAUCCUGGCUCAGAUUGAACGCUGGCGGCAUGCCUAACACAUGCAAGUCGAGGGGCAGCGCGAGUAGCAAUACUUGGCGGCGACCGGCGCAAGGGUGCGUAACGCGUGAGCAACUUGCCCGUAUCAGGGGGAUAAUCCAGGGAAACUUGGUCUAAUACCCCAUAGUAAUUUUGUAAGGCAUCUUAUAAGAUUUAAAGCUUUGGUGGAUACGGAUUGGCUCGCGUGACAUUAGCUGGAUGGUAAGGUAACGGCUUACCAUGGCUAUGAUGUCUAGGGGUUCUGAGAGGAAGGUCCCCCACACUGGAACUGAGACACGGUCCAGACUCCUACGGGAGGCAGCAGUGAGGAAUAUUGGACAAUGGAUGGAAAUCUGAUCCAGCCAUGCCGCGUGAAGGAAGAAGGUCCUAUGGAUUGUAAACUUCUUUUGUAUGGGAGCAAUAAGGCCUACGAGUAGGUUGAUGAGAGUACCAUACGAAUAAGCACCGGCUAACUCCGUGCCAGCAGCCGCGGUAAUACGGAGGGUGCAAGCGUUAUCCGGAUUUAUUGGGUUUAAAGGGUGCGUAGCGGUUAUCUAAGUCAGUGGUGAAAGUUUUCGGCUCAACCGGGAUA
Molecule: ribosomal RNA, 628 nt
Filed under: uncultured bacterium
Lineage: Bacteria
Description: bacterial SSU rRNA
Rfam family: Bacterial small subunit ribosomal RNA
Source: RNAcentral